Molecule: long non-coding RNA, 754 nt
Organism: Peromyscus eremicus (cactus mouse)
Lineage: Eukaryota; Metazoa; Chordata; Mammalia; Rodentia; Cricetidae
Exons: 3
Source: RefSeq, a predicted model, not a curated record
GGUGUUCUUGCUGUCGGGCUCCCCUUUCUGGGAGCUUGAGGAUCUGUGCACCAUCUGUGCACUCCAGUGGCCCUGCGGCCGUCCAGCUGGAGCCCUUGGUCCCGGAGGCACUUGCGUGGGCACCGGGCGUCCCGAGGGGGUGGCGACUUCAGCCUCGGGGAAGCCCUGGGCCUGGGGUUCCAAGCAUGACUCGUCCACUUCCAGGGUUCAUGUUUUGCCAGCGUCUGUUCCACGUCGCUUGGUCCCAUCUGUCCCCUCAUGCUUCACAGCAGGUGCUAGCAGGUUGGCUGGAGUUGGUCGGUGCUCCCUUCCCAAACUGAACUGCUGUCCAUCAGGGUGGUGAAGAGGAACUGGAAUGAGGACCAUGCAGAGCUGACAUGAAGGAAUACAAGAUGAUUCAUUCAGUGAGAAUUUGGAUGCUGGUGGAAAUCCAGGCCUCCAGUGAACUCGUUGGUAUAGAUGGUUUAAACCAGAGCAGCGGAAUGUAGCAUGGACAUCGUUGCAAAGGAGUAAUUUGAAAAAUGGAAGAAAAAAAAAAAAGAUGCAAGGAUUGAGUCUCCAUUUGAGUUCCUUCCUUGGGCUCAGUACAAACGCUAAUAAAUUCACAGGGAUAUCUUGAAAUAAAACCCCUGUGACACUCUUACUGAUCCUUAUUUGGCACCUUGGAUGGAUAAGGCAAAAGACACAAAACUUAAAAGUUCAAGUGGUCAGAGCAAGAACGGUAGGAAACUUCCCUAAGCAUGGAAGAGACCGA